Molecule: non-coding RNA, 151 nt
Organism: Oryza sativa (Asian cultivated rice)
Lineage: Eukaryota; Viridiplantae; Streptophyta; Magnoliopsida; Poales; Poaceae
Source: Rfam
AGGCAGAGGCAAAGGAAGCAUGAGCUUGUGGGAGUUGUAGGAAUGGAUGCGUAGAGAAAGAAAUGAAAUCUGAACCAGAUUUGUGAUUUGAUUCUUUCCUAUGACGUCCAUUCCAAUGAUUUCCAGUCGCUCCUUCCUUGGCCCAAACUGC